Molecule: ribosomal RNA, 397 nt
Filed under: uncultured bacterium
Lineage: Bacteria
Description: partial 16S ribosomal RNA
Rfam family: Bacterial small subunit ribosomal RNA
Source: RNAcentral
AUACGUAGGGGGCGAGCGUUGUCCGGAAUGAUUGGGCGUAAAGGGCGCGUAGGCGGCCCGGUAAGUCUGGAGUGAAAGUCCUGUUUUUAAGAUGGGAAUUGCUUUGGAUACUGUCGGGCUUGAGUGCAGGAGAGGUAAGUGGAAUUCCCAGUGUAGCGGUGAACUGCGUAGAGAUUGGGAGGAACAUCAGUGUCGAAGGCGACUUACUGGACGGUAACUGACGCUGAGGCGCGUAAGUGUGGGGAGCAAACAUGAUUAGAUACCCUGGUAGUCCACACUGUAAACGAUGAAUGCUAGGGGUAGGUGGUAUCGACCCCUUCUGUGCCGCAGUCAACACAAUAAGCAUUCCGCCUGGGGAGUACGGCCGCAAGGUUGAAACUCAAAGGAAUUGUCGGGG